This 155-nucleotide non-coding RNA is filed under the name Pan troglodytes (chimpanzee). Lineage: Eukaryota; Metazoa; Chordata; Mammalia; Primates; Hominidae. The record is from Rfam by way of RNAcentral.
GCCGGGUGUGGUGGUGCACGCCUGUAGUCCCAGCUACUUGAGAGGCUGAGGUGAGAGGAUGACUUGAGCCCAGGAGAUCCAGGCUGCAGUGAGCUGACAUAGCGCCACUGCACACUGCAUUCCAGCCUGGGCAACAGAGGAAGAUCUUGUCUUUA